GCGCUUCAUGCUAAAGGCCAUCUAUUCUUUUUUCAUUUACAACUCAAGAAGGCUCGGUUGGAUGAAUAAAUAACAUGAUGGCUGUUUUUACAUUUGAAGCCUUUUCUCUAUUCUUUUAUCGAAUUGUAUCUGCGUUUUGAACUUGAGGUAAUCCAAUCCAUUCCGAGUGGUUCUGGCCAUUCAGUUUCCUUAGGACAAAAGAAUUCCUUGCUCUUCAAAAACAUCCACGUUCGGUGGUUUAAAUUCAGUAUCGUUUCCUUUGUAUGUUUCGACUGUACCUGAUAUUGGGUCUAACUUGAUGAGCCCGUUCUGGAUCAUCAAAGAUUUGGAAUCAUCUUCGCGGGUAAACUAUUUAGGAACUGCAGAGUCUGCGAAUAGGCACCUAAAAGAAAUGGACGAUACCUUCUGUGUGGUAGUGUUCAACUGAGUCCCAAAAGUUGUAAUAUGCUUUUUGAUUUUGAAAUCAAACAAACAAAAAUCAAUCUGGUCAAUAGGUAACGACAAAUUCGACAUUUAAAUUGUGAGUCUCCCAUGGACGUUUUGCAAAGGGAAGAGUAGUGAUCGGCAGAUCGGCUGUUUUCGCGGUUACCAAUCACCAAUAAUUCGUAUGGGUUUAGAUGGGAUAGGAUGUUAUUCAAAUGGAAAAUAUGUAUAUUGAGUGGAGAAAAGAGCUGUUUUGAGUUACCCUUUCGAUUGAACUAAUCAACGGAUUCAUAUUUUUGUUCUUUAGAAAUGAGGGUUGGAAGAAAGUGAGAUUUUUCGUAAACAAACACAACUAACGUAAAUUUGACAAACAGCUGAAAUUCAAGCGCACUGAUGGUCGAAUGUUUGUUUGUUUUUUUCACUGAAAAUGUUCCGUCUUACUAUUGUUUUGGAUCUAAGGUUUUCCCUUCUUUGGAUUCCUUUCCGGUUCCUCUUUUUUGUUUUUCUUACAUUUUCUCCAUUAUUUCGCAAGCCACACCCCAGUCACAUCUUGGUUGCUUUUCCCAUUCAUGAUCAUUUUCUUUUCGUUAUCGGCUAAUCAAAAUUAUCCGUACUGAUGUGACAUUUCGAUGCAUAUUUCUAA
This is a long non-coding RNA of Daphnia pulicaria, 1066 nucleotides long. RefSeq lists it as uncharacterized. The transcript has 4 exons. The record is from RefSeq and is a predicted model, not a curated record. NCBI's taxonomy places the organism in Eukaryota, Metazoa, Arthropoda, Branchiopoda, Diplostraca, Daphniidae.